This 253-nucleotide ribosomal RNA is filed under the name uncultured bacterium. RNAcentral's name for it is "partial 16S ribosomal RNA". It matches the Rfam family "Bacterial small subunit ribosomal RNA", at positions 524 to 776 of the family's 1533-position model. The record is from RNAcentral.
UACAGAGGUCCCAAGCGUUGUUCGGAUUCACUGGGCGUAAAGGGUGCGUAGGUGGUGAGGUAAGUCGGAUGUGAAAGCUCGGAGCUCAACUCCGAAAUGGCAUUGGAAACUACCUUGCUCGAGGGUUGGAGGGGGGACUGGAAUACUUGGUGUAGCAGUGAAAUGCGUAGAUAUCAAGUGGAACACCAGUGGCGAAGGCGAGUCCCUGGACAGCUCCUGACACUGAGGCACGAAAGCUAGGGGAGCAAACAGG